RNAcentral lists this long non-coding RNA (1379 nucleotides) under Mus musculus (house mouse). RNAcentral describes it as "long non-coding RNA chr3:130901664-130903043". Lineage: Eukaryota; Metazoa; Chordata; Mammalia; Rodentia; Muridae. The record is from RNAcentral.
GUUGAUACUUCAGGGCCAUGGUGGGUGGGAGUUGGAUUUCUGUUCCUCCAACUCUGUAAUUAAUUUAUCUAGCAACGAGGAUACAGUGAUGCCAGGAAGAAAGAAAAUAAAAAAGCCCCUGGAGGGGCUGUCUGUGUCUUUGCAGAAUGACUGGGGACUCCUGGGUUAGAGCUGCAGUUUAGACGUGAGUGAACUUUUUAAAAGUCUGUGUGAGUGUGUGGAGUCAACGGCUAUGUAUCAAAGGGGUCCGUGUGAUGUGUGUGUCUCUUUAAACACUUACGUAAUAGUCUGUCUGUACUGUGUGAAAGGACAUGGCAUGCACAUAUGUGUGAUGGGACAGUAUCAGGUCACACAUUGUGGUAUUGUGGUAGGCAGGUGCUAUGAUUUGCAUAAAGUAUAUAUGUUUGUGCUACAUAAGCCUUGUAUGGAAAGAUGAGAGAAUAUAUGUCCAUGUGUUGUACUAUAUGUAUAUGUAUACACACAUGUAUGUGUUGUGUGAACAUGUAUAGUGCAAGGAUGUGAAAUGUGAGAGGAAUACCGUAAAGGCACAAUUCACAUAUGUAUCAUGUGUUCAUAUGUGACUAAGAGUGUGAGCCAUUGUAUGCAUAAAGCAUAUAUGGAUUGUGUGUGUGGUCUAAUAUUGUUGUGUAUGAAGCAUGUUUACAUAGGUGUGUGUAUAUGAUCUGAAGGUACAAGGUGCUGGGUGUUGUUUAUAGUAUGCACGAGGGUGGUGUGUCUUAUCUAUGGUGUGUAUAAGUAUGUGUGGUGUGUUAUGACGGUCACGUGUGAGUGUAGUAUGUUCACAGGCCAAGAAGCAUGCUUGGACGCCAGGCACCUGUGCAGACAGGCCAGCCCAACUCUUUGAUGUUUGGCACAGCAGCAUCCUGCGCAGUCUCUGUGUCCCGCUGUUCUGCUCAGGGAGCCAGAGUCUGGGGCAGGAAGAAGGGUCAGAGAGUCACCACACCCUUGAGCCCUGGGGAAAGGUUUAAAGUUGAAAAUAUUUGACCAGGAUGCAGACCAACAGGCUCUUUGCCCCUAGGCUGCACCUCAAAACAUAGGCCUCACCUGCAGAGUUCAGAGCGGAGAGAAACAGGUUACCCACCAGUACCAGGGGAGUCAGAGCCUCAUUUCCUAGGUCUAGAUUAACACUUACAGGGAUACCUCUCAGGGGGACGAACAAAUCACUUGACAUCCAUAAAGCAAAGGUAAUUGGCCACCUCAGCGCGUGAAGGCACUUGGCACCAAGUGUGCUGGCUUGACUGUGACCCCGAGGACCACGUAACAGAAGAGGAUAACCACUGCCCACCAUUGUCCUUCAAUCUACCCCCACACAAUCAGUAAGCGUAAUUAAAAAAAAUUAAAACAUACGUAACAACUGC